This 406-nucleotide ribosomal RNA is filed under the name uncultured bacterium. Its description in RNAcentral is "partial 16S ribosomal RNA". It matches the Rfam family "Bacterial small subunit ribosomal RNA", at positions 30 to 526 of the family's 1533-position model. The record is from RNAcentral.
AUUGAACGCUGGCGGCAUGCCUAACACAUGCAAGUAGAACGAGUGGCGGACGGGUGAGUAGUGUCUGGACAACUGCCCGAUGGAGGGGGAUAACUGCUGGAAACGGUAGCUAAUACCGCAUACCAUCGAAUGUGCCCAGAUGGGAUUAGCUAGGCGGUGGGGUAACGGCUCACCUGGGCAACGAUCCCUAGCUGGUCUGCGAGGAUGACCAGCAACACUGGAACUGAGACACGGUCCAGACUCCUACGGGAGGCAGCAGUGGGGAAUAUUGCACAAUGGGCGCAAGCCUGAUGCAGCCAUGCCGCGUGUAUGAAGAAGGCCUUCGGGUUGUAAAGUACUUUCAGCGAGGAGGCGUUACUCGCAGAAGAAGCACCGGCUAACUCCGUGCCAGCAGCCGCGGUAAUUC